CUUCAAGGGGGAAAGGAAGCUGAAAAAUAAAACAUACGCUUAAAAGAGAAAAUGUAGUCUACAAACACGGUGGAGGCGAUGAAUGGAGAUGACCCUGUCUAGAAAUUUGACUCUGAAAAGGAAAACAGAGGAUGAGAGUGUGGGGGAUGGCAGUGAUCACUAAAUCAAGCCAAGUAAUGAUCAGCUGUUCUGCUUUUUGGUGGAGGGAGAGGAGAGCCAGAGACGUGGAAACAGAGACAGAGACAGACGGAGGAAGGGAGAACGUGCGAGCAGAUGUCUGGGCAGCUGACUUCCUCCAGCACUGUCCUACCCCUCUCUGUUGGGCUUGCCGUCCUUUCUCGAGCUCUUCAGAGUUAGGGUCAGACAAUAGGGGAGGCUCAGGGACAUGGUGGUCUGCAGUACACUUGGAUGACAACUCCCCUCUGGAUUUGCUCCCGUUGAUCUCAACCUGCUGCUCACCAUGGGCUCCUCAGUAUUUCUGAUUUUUAUCAUGACAAUUGGUGAUCCAGAUGGGAUCUGAGUGAGGGACUCUGAGCCCUGAGGAAACCUUUCCAGAUAACUCUCCUAAGUACUCCAAUUGAUCUUCUUUUCCACAGAAGACUGUCUUGGAGGUUGGACACCCCUUGGGUUCAAACCAAAUUCUUCUGAGCUAAGAUAUGCAGAAGCUUCAGUUAAAAAGAAAGCUAUCUCCUAGGUCCUCUUUGGAAAAACUGUGGAUGUUGUGCAACCCAAGGCAAUAAGAAACCUCCUUUUAUGAGACAUUCGGUCACUUCAUCUUGUAGAACUCAUGGUGAGCAUAUACCAAAAAACCACCAGGAAUAUAAUGGCAUUUAGUGCCAACACCCACUGUGGAGAAUGAAGGUGACAAGCUGCGUGAAGGACUAUAGCCCCUCCAAAAGAAAUUCACACAUCCUUUGAGAGCGCACAACUUGGCAAACCAUGCUGGAAAAUCCUGCUCAGGUACAAGAAAUCAAGGAAGCUGGGAUCUGGAGGUUGUCAAUGUGGGAGCCAUUCUGUAGCACUGACUCGUUAGAACAAGGACAAAGCUCAAAGCCAAGUUGGAAGACUAAAGUGGAGAAAGAGGGUGCGCAAUGAAACAACUCCAAUCUGAUCUAUUUAUACAAGUUAUUGAUGUCACAACCAAUUAUCUCCAUUUCCAAAGGAUGUUUAACACAUGUAAAUACGUUGGCACAACAGGGAGACCAAAAGCACCGAGAAACCACCUGAGCCAGCAAACACCCCUUCUCUUUGCCAAAGGGAGAGAGAAGCAGCCAAGGGCAGUGCUGGUUUAGGGUAUAAUCUUGCUUGUGAAAUCUCAUAGAUGAGAGUGAUAGAAAAUAAUUCAAUUCAGUUUAGUUCAACAGUCAUUCUUUUAAUGCCUCCUCUAUGCAAGACAUGUUGGGAAUGGCGGGGACACAAAGACAAGACAAAGUGGUCCUUACCCCUGAAGACUUUUCAUUCCAUGAAAAGAGGGAGGAAUUGAGCACGCAAAAAGAUAAGUAAAUACAAAGUAAUUUGAUAGAAGGAGGACAGAAUCAGAGAAGGCUUUUUGUAGGGGGAAACACAUGAUUUAAGUCUCAAAAGAAGCCAGGGGUUCUUAGGGAUGGGUAAAUUCCAGAUCUGGGGAAGGCCUGUACAAGGACACCAAGAUGGAAGACAAAGUGUCAAGUCUGAGGAGGAGCUGGUGGGCUGGUUUGACUGGGCCAUCAAGUCUAGGAAGAAGGGCAGUCAUGUGAAUGAAGACUGGAAAGGUAGGCUAGAGCCAAAUUGUGAGGGGUUUGAAGCUCCUGAAUAAGGAGUGAGAAUUUUAUGCCAGAGGCAAUAAAGAACCAGUGAAAAUUCUUGAACGGGGGGGGUGACAUGAGGAGACUUUUGCUUUACAACAAUUGUUUUGCCACUUGUAUAGAAGAUGGAACAGAGAGGGGGGAGAGAAGUCCAAUUAGGAGGUUGUUAUAAUGGCUUAAGACCAAGAAGAUGAGGUUCUAAGUUAGAAUGUGACAUGGUACAGUGGAAAGAACACUGACUCUGGAGUCAGAGGACUUUGGUUCAAAUCUUGUUAUAGGUGUUUAUUACUUGUGGGACCUUGGGUACUAAAACAAAUCACCUCCAUAGACCUCAGCUUUCUCAUCUGUAAAAUAAGGGGGUUGGACUAGAUGGCCUCUGAAAUGCCUUCUAAUUCUAGAGCUAUGAUCCCAUGAUACUGAUGUGGUGUGAGGGGAGAAGAGGGGGCAGACAAGAUGUUGCGAAGGCAGGAUUGAUCAAACUUGUCAAUGCAUUGUGUGUAGGGGGAGGGGUGAGGGAGAGAGAAGUGAGGAGGAUGAUUCCAAGGCAGUAAACUUGAGUGAAUGGAAAGAUUGGUGGCAGCCUCAGCAGAAACAGGCAAGUUUGGAGGAGGGGUGAGUUUAAGGGGAAAGAGCAUGAGCUCUGUUUUAGACAUGAUGAGUUGAGAUGUCUAUGGAACAUUCAGUAGCUCAAUGUCGUGAUGCUAGACUGGAGUUCAGGAGAAUUAUUAGGGUCGGAUAUAUAGGUGAUACAGGUCAAGAUAGAGGAUAGAGGAGAAGAGAAUGGAAAGUGAAGGGGGAAAGGGAAGGUGGGAAAGAGAAGAGAGAGGA
Non-coding RNA from Phascolarctos cinereus (koala), 2612 nucleotides. The record is from RefSeq and is a predicted model, not a curated record. Lineage: Eukaryota; Metazoa; Chordata; Mammalia; Diprotodontia; Phascolarctidae.